UAGCCAGGGAUGAUUUGCCUG
Molecule: microRNA, 21 nt
Filed under: Zea mays
Lineage: Eukaryota; Viridiplantae; Streptophyta; Magnoliopsida; Poales; Poaceae
Description: zma-miR169l-5p
Gene: zma-miR169l-5p
Source: miRBase by way of RNAcentral